RNAcentral lists this ribosomal RNA (460 nucleotides) under uncultured bacterium. Its description in RNAcentral is "partial 16S ribosomal RNA". It matches the Rfam family "Bacterial small subunit ribosomal RNA", at positions 338 to 795 of the family's 1533-position model. The record is from RNAcentral.
CCUACGGGUGGCAGCAGUGAGGAAUAUUGGUCAAUGGACGAGAGUCUGAACCAGCCAAGUAGCGUGAAGGAUGACUGCCCUAUGGGUUGUAAACUUCUUUUAUAUGGGAAUAAAAUGUUCCACGUGUGGGAUUUUGUAUGUACCAUUUGAAUAAGGAUCGGCUAACUCCGUGCCAGCAGCCGCGGUAAUACGGAGGAUCCGAGCGUUAUCCGGAUUUAUUGGGUUUAAAGGGAGCGUAGGUGGAUUGUUAAGUCAGUUGUGAAAGUUUGCGGCUCAACCGUAAAAUUGCAGUUGAAACUGGCAGUCUUGAGUACAGUAGAGGUGGGCGGAAUUCGUGGUGUAGCGGUGAAAUGCUUAGAUAUCACGAAGAACUCCGAGUGCGAAGGCAGUUCACUGGACUGCAACUGACACUGAGGCUCGAAAGUGUGGGUAUCAAACAGGAUUAGAUACCCCAGUAGUC